AUCACCAGUGUUCAAUUUCCAGGGAUGGUGUUAAAUACACAGUGUUGAUGCUGUUUUAACACUAUCUGGUAAUAAAAUAACACUGCCAUUGCUAGGCCAGUGUUAUAUCCAUGACAGUGUCAGUGUAAAACAAGGGUGUUACCAGAUUUCACACUGAGCGGUGUAAAUCAAGCCACGCCUCCACUAAACAUAUCCUGUCAGGGAUUUUACCGCCAUUUUCUUUCAAAGGAGGACUGAAGAGAGCAGGUAAAUCUCAUAAUAUUCACAUGGUUUAGCUAAAUUAAACUGUUAUUUCUCUGUCUGACUCUACGCAGCCAUUUGCCAAAAAACCUAAAUAAGAUAUGUUUCCCAUUUUAUUUCCCCUUUGUUCGUUAUUUGGUUCAGUUUAAUCAGAGCUAUCUUGUGUUACGUUGUUCCCUUGUUAGUUUGGUAUAAAGUUAAACUUCUAGCUAAAAGUUUUAACCAAGAAGGAUAAUAUUAACAGGAGAUAUGAAUGAAUGUAAGAAUUGAACCAUGAUAAAACGCGACAUGCACUACAAAUUGAAGGUAUGAAAUUAAGUUAAAUGAAAGCUCGUUUAUUCACCAUAUGAUGCUCGUUAUGAGGUAAUCAUAUAGGCUAGAUACCGUGAGUUAACGAGGUCGUUUACAUGCACGUGAGUGCACGGAUAUCGGUUAAUUAUUCAAAUUACUGAAAAACACGGAGAAAACCGCAACCGCAUCGUCAUGUGUUUUUUUUUUUUUUUAGAUGUAUGCAAACAGGGAAAAUAUCGCCAAACCAACAAUUCAUUUUACCUCAGAAUAUGCACAGAUUGGAUGCAUUGUGUGUUAUGCUAGUUUGGUGAAAGUACACACUGAGUGCUUCAAAUCAUUCAGAAGAGAUGCUGUUUUUAGGGCAGUUUAUUAAAGAAGACCUGACAUGGAUGACUUCCAAUGAGAAACGACUGCUAAUACUUAUAUAAAUUCAUUACAGAAGGACCCUACCAGACUAUAUUUGAAUACGGCAUACCCAUGAAUUCUGGAACUUUUAUUUCUUAACCCAGUUUGGAGGAUAAGAGCUUACCAACUAUAAAUAUGCUGAGGUGAUGUAUUGCAAAAAAGCCAACAUACAACAAUUAAAGGAUAAUUGCAGACUACGUCCUGAUGAAGAUAUGGAUGACCCUCUGUCUGGUCAACAGGAGUUUAAAUAUGG
Molecule: non-coding RNA, 1189 nt
Organism: Misgurnus anguillicaudatus (oriental weatherfish)
Lineage: Eukaryota; Metazoa; Chordata; Actinopteri; Cypriniformes; Cobitidae
Source: RefSeq, a predicted model, not a curated record